Non-coding RNA from Skermanella aerolata KACC 11604, 63 nucleotides. Lineage: Bacteria; Pseudomonadati; Pseudomonadota; Alphaproteobacteria; Rhodospirillales; Azospirillaceae. The record is from Rfam.
UCCCGGGUCCGGGCCCCUCUGGCGGUUGCUCAGUCGACGCUUCCGCGAUGUCGGACUCCUUGU